RNAcentral lists this ribosomal RNA (445 nucleotides) under uncultured bacterium. RNAcentral's name for it is "bacterial SSU rRNA". It matches the Rfam family "Bacterial small subunit ribosomal RNA", at positions 330 to 792 of the family's 1533-position model. The record is from RNAcentral.
ACCAGACUCCUACGGGAGGCAGCAGUGGGGAAUAUUGCACAAUGGGGGGAACCCUGAUGCAGCGACGCCGCGUGGGUGAAGAAGCGCCUCGGCGCGUAAAGCCCUGUCAGCAGGGAAGAAAAUGACGGUACCUGAAGAAGAAGCCCCGGCUAACUACGUGCCGGCAGCCGCGGUAAUACGUAGGGGGCAAGCGUUAUCCGGAUUGACUGGGUGUAAAGGGGGCGCAGACGGCGAUGCAAGCCAGGAGUGAAAGCCCGGGGCCCAACCCCGGGACUGCUCUUGGAACUGCGUGGCUGGAGUGCAGGAGGGGCAGGCGGAAUUCCUGGUGUAGCGGUGAAAUGCGUAGAUAUCAGGAGGAACACCGGUGGCGAAGGCGGCCUGCUGGACUGCGACUGACGUUGAGGCCCGAAAGCGUGGGGAGCAAACAGGAUUAGAUACCCCCGUA